This is a long non-coding RNA of Varanus komodoensis (Komodo dragon), 3200 nucleotides long. RefSeq lists it as uncharacterized. NCBI's taxonomy places the organism in Eukaryota, Metazoa, Chordata, Lepidosauria, Squamata, Varanidae. The record is from RefSeq and is a predicted model, not a curated record. The transcript is spliced from 4 exons.
AAGAAGUUACACAAAACUUGCACAGGCAUGUGAGGUCCCAUUAAACACCCUGAACAAGCAGACAGCUUAAUGCUCUUUGAGUUUCUUUUACAGAUGUGACACAUUGGCUGUCAGGAGACUCAUAGCAUUGGAUGAUUCCUGACCUGUGUUUAGUAAGCUGAAAAAUGAGGGAAAGGCCCAUUAUCAAGAACACUAAGAAUCUAUACACGUCAGAAGUCAGGGAUUAUUUAUAACCCCUUUUCCCUUUUUUCGUUUUUAGAUAAAGAAAUGAGCCACAAUGACACAACAGGAUGGAAUUUAACCCAGCUGUUUGUCUCCCCCAGAUGAGCAAUACUGGAGAAAUAUACUUGGAAAGCCACAUGACAAUAAAUACCAUCCUAUCUUCCACAAAAGUUGACAAGCUUUUGCAUAUUACUUUCCUGUCCUAGUUCUGACAUGAUGUUUCACGAUGUUUCUCCAUGGAACUUUUAUAGGUUGAAGAGAGAAUCUGGAGCAAAGUCUGGGCACCAAGGAGUUUGGUGACUCAAAUGCGACUGCCAGGGACUUUUGACUCAGCACUCAGUCAAUGCACAGAUGAAAGUGGCAACAGGAAGAAGAAAAGAGGCGUUCUGUGAAUACCCCUUUGGAGACUCAUAACCAGUUUUACUCAAGGCUUGGAGUAAAGGACUUGAGCACAUCACAUAUGAAGUUCUACACACUGAAACCAGGGUGAUAGACUGGCUACCAUAUCAGAUUAGGACCAAGGAGAUGCAGAUGCAUGACCUUUAUUGGGUGACCUGGGAUGCCUGCAAACCUGGAAGAGACGUGAAAUGAAUCCUUGCCAACAUAAUCAGCUACAUGUAGUUCUUCUUGUAGAUUAUACAAAUACGUUUGCAAUAAGCCAAGGCAGCUCAAAGUUACAUCACCUCUCAGUGGGCCAAGUGGUAAGUAGAGCAUGCAGAACACUUCUUGGAUAGUGAGAAAUUACUAUGGUCCCAUUUUUUAUGGUAUUAGAACUACCUUUCAGAGGAAAGUAUUAUUGCAAAAAUUGUGACAACUAUCAAGUAUAGAUCAACACUGCAUGUGUUUACUGAGAGGUUCCAUGUGUGAGGUCUCCAAAGACUUUGCUGGAUGAAAACUUGCAUUUACAAUAACAAUAUUUUAGGGUUUUAUAUUAAUAGCUGUGGGCAGUUUUGUUUUUAAGAGCUUAAGAAUGAGAGAAGAGUUUUCUAAAUCAGACCAAAGGCCCAUGUAGUUUAGCAUCCUGUUUCCUACGGUGGCCAAUAAGAUUCCAAUGGAAACUCAAAAGCAGGGCAUGAGUGCAAUAACUUUCUUCAACUCUUGUUCUUCAACAACUGGCAUAACACUGGAGGUGCAGGACAUAGGAGGCAGCCUUAUGCCAGGUCAGAUCGUGGGUCCACCUGGUGCAGUACAGUUCCUUCUGACACGCAGCAGUUUUUCAUGGCCUCAGGCAGAGAUCUUGUCCAGCACCUACUGCCUGGUCCUUUAUGAACUGAAAAUGUCAAGGGUUCAGCCUGGAAGGCACAUUUUCUGCCACUGAGCAACAACAACUUGUGGAGCCAUGAGAGUGAGACUUGACUUCCAUUCUUGUAAGGAAAAUCCUAGAGAGAGCUCUGGCCUGAAAAGUUUUCUUGUCUCUUAGUAAACAUUCCCUGAAUAAUCUGAAGUUUAUGCUAAACAACUGUUCUUUUUUCAGUGUCAAUAUGGCAGUUGAAAAUAUCAUAGUGGUAGGCCUCAUAUUGAAAACCAGAUACAACCGCUAAAACGUUACCACUAAAAAUACAGAGAAGAAAACUCAGCUGUAAAAGAAGCUAUUUCCCCUACCAAGAGUUCAAUAUAAACCAUCUGGGAAUGCUAAUAAGAAAGCCAAAACAUUGCUUUGAAAUGUAUAUACAAAAAAAUGUCCACUUGGAAAUUAAGACAAGUAGGUCAUACUACUGGGGGCUGGACUGUAAAUGACACAAAGUCAUAGGAAGCAUGGAAGACACAAAGUGCAUAGUGAGAAUGAACUUUUCUGUCUCUACACCAAUGCCCAUGUUAUGGGAAACAAACAACAUGAACUUGAGCUCACAGUACAUGAGGACAAUUAUGCUCUUACAGGAAUAACUGAAACUUGGUGGGGUGACUCACAUGACUGGAACUCUGCAACUGAUGAGAAAAAUAGAAAGAACAAAAAGGAAGGUGGAGUUGCACUGUACCUAAGAGAUACGUAUAUCUGCACAGAAAUACAAAAAAAGGAACUUAGUAGCCCCAUUGAAAGCAUCUGGCUUAAUUUAAAGGGAGCAAAAAAUAAGAAAGACAUAGUUACUGACAUCUAUUACUGACCUCCCAGUCAAAAAGAGGACAAGGAUGCAACCUUCAAAAAACAACUUGCCAGUAUUUCCAAGAAGUCAUCAUGGGGGACUUCAACUGCCCUGAUAUAUACUGGGAGACAAAUUCUGCCAAUCAUGGCUCCUCCCACAGAUUCCUGGCAUGUGUUCCUGGCAGCUUUCUCCAGCAGAAAGUAGAGGGAAGAUACAAGAGGAUUGGCUAUCCUCAAUUUAAUACUAACUAACAGGGAUGGCCGGAUGGACAGAAUAACAGCCAUGGGAAAUCUUUAGGGACAGUGACCAUGUGAUACUUGAAUUCUCAAUUAUAAAGGAAACAAAGGGUAACUGGAGCUACACAAGCAUCCUGGAUUUCAGGAAAUCCUACUUUAAUGAACUCAGAAAAAUGGUAAGCGCCGUGCCAUGGCAACACACCCUUAAGGGAAAAGGAGUCCAAGAGGGGUGGGAAAUCUUGAAAAAGAAACAUAGAAACUGAGUGAGUCAGAAGGGGCCUCCCAGGCCAUCUAAUCUGAUCCCCAGCUCCAGCCAGCUGCGCUCAUGACAUACUGUUUGAAGAAGUUUCUCUAACACAAUUAUGAACAAUUCCAUCAAGAAGAACAUGUGGAAGACAAGAGAAAGCCCACAUAGCUUCACAAACACUUAAGUGACAUCCUGAAAGAAAGGAAAAAAAAGAACGUAUACAGGAAGUGGAAGUGGGGCCAGGCCACGAAGGAAGAAUAUCAACAAAUAGCAAGGAGUUGCUGGGAUAGCAUCAGGAAGGCUAAAGCAGGAAAUGAACUGAGAAUAGAAAGGGAUGAUAAGAACAAGAAAGUCUUCUUCAGAUACAUCCAGAACAAAAGACAUAAGAAAGAGAAGGGUGUCCAGCUACUUAAA